RNAcentral lists this long non-coding RNA (2253 nucleotides) under Anas platyrhynchos platyrhynchos (common mallard). RNAcentral describes it as "lncRNA (ENSAPLG00000028998.1)". Lineage: Eukaryota; Metazoa; Chordata; Aves; Anseriformes; Anatidae. The record is from RNAcentral.
CUAAAUUUUAGAUUUGCUUGAGGCAGGAGAAGGGCUUUUCGCUUGGCCUCUAAACACUACAUGGCUUUAGCUGCAAGAUGUGUUGCUGGUUUUGAUUUUAAUCAGUUUCUUAUUUGUAAUUUGCAAUUAUUAUUAUUUUUUCUUUUCUUUCAUGUUAUUUCCAGAGGAAGCCCUGGAUGAAGGUUGUUGGUCUGGUGGAGAAAUAGGCACUAACACUUCAGAUGAGAGAUGGACCGAUAUUCUCUGCAUGGCUGAGGCCAGUAACUAUCUGUGAACGGUGACUCACGAUCCGGUCAGACGCACAUCCACACAAGUGAUGCCAGCAGCCUGGUCCCAGCGGGAUGUACACCGAGUGGGAUGAGUCAACCCUGCCGUCUGCAGCGCUGCAUUCAGGCUGCCCAGGAGGAGACACCUGCCGGUACCAAAAGGAGUACUUCAGCAGUAAAGUGCCAUACUCUGCUGAACAAACUUGGCAUCUCGUCAAGCUGACUUAUUUGGGAUGGAAUUGGACCUUCAUGUCCCUGUGCAUAGCUUCUCUUAGUGAAAUCCCAAGAAUGCAGGCUGACCAAGGUGGAUACUGAAGAACCUGCCUUCUCCUAUACAUGAGUCUAGCUACAUGAGAAGAAGUCUGGACUCGAACAGAUCCCAGCCGGAAUCAAUCCCAACCAUCUCUCCAGCAAUCAGAACAACCUGCUGGGGGCUGAGUAACAGCUGAAUUCUUGGUGAGAGAAAUUACAGGCAUAAAAACAAAAUCAAAUAGACUCCUUGUGCUCAUUCAACAUUUCAAGGCAUAUUUAUAGGUACUGCUGCAUGGCAUCUUAAAUAUCGCAGUUUAAAAAGAAACUGCAUUACUCCUGUUGGGGAAAAUAAUUUUUCUGUUCUGUCACUUUCACUGUCUUUGCCCCUGAUGAAAAAAAGAAUAGAAAUACACUGAAUUAAAUACCCAUUCAGACCUUGCCGUCUCCUCUUUGAACUGUCUGGAUACCUCAGAGAUAGAUCUGUGAAGAUGAGAAGAUCUAAAGGUCAUCCGAAGGCCAUCAAAACUGGUGUAGGAACAUGAGAGCUGAACAAUAAGCUGCUAAUUAAAAGCUGGGGUUUUCUUGCUCUAUGAAAAUAGGAGGGGCUUGGUAUAGGCGAAGAGAUGACCUUGCAGUCCAGCUCCUAGUUGAGUCACUUCCUUAGACUCCUGCAUUGCAUCCCUCUCUACCUGCUCCCAAGUCUCACUGUCAAGAAAAGCCCAAGAGAAAUUUUACCACUGAUGAAGAUCCCUGCAUAAGGGAGAGAAAUCCACCCUAUUCCACUUUUACUUUCAAGACAGAGAGACCCUAAUUCUCAUACUAGGUAAGCAGGAGGGAAAACCACACAAACCACAGCUUUGAGCUCCCUGCUGAGUGCAUCAAAGUAGAAACAAGUUAACAGGACAGACUGAUAGACAGCUUUUCCCUCUAGCCCAUCGAAAUUCUUUGAAAAGGUAUGAACAAAAAAAUAGUGUAAAAAUUGGGGAGGGUGCUUUUUUACACUUUAAGAGGGAGAAUAUUCUUCCAAAAUGUUCACAGAACUAUUGAAAAAUGGAUCAGCUUUCAUUAUAGACAUCUGAGGCAGAAGGUACAUGGCUGACAAAGCUUGUGCUCUGUAAUGGUUUGGGAGAAAAAAAAACAUUUAGCAGAUAAUAGUAUUUGCCUUGGGAACAGGAGUCAGGGAGCCUCAAGUGGGGAGGACUUUAGAUACCGAACUAAAGCAGCAAACUUGCCAUUGGUCAAGGACUUGAGGGAGCUAAACUCCUCUAUCACAUGCCUGAGACUCAAGUGCUCUGUAAUCUCUGUGGCAUAGACAUCUAGGCACCAUUGUGGACAGCACAUGGCUGCUGAAUGGUGAAAGCAGAUGACUGGGCAGAGCAAAACCAGAAGGCCUCAAAUCACAAUCACAAAAGUCAGCUCUUGAGAUUAAACUGAGAUUAAAUCAACCCAGCCACCAGAAGGGUGUCACACAGCAUUGCAGAAACACGACUUGCUACCAGACACAGGAGGGCUCUUGUAAAAAGCUCCAUGCUCCCACUUCCCCCAUGCCCCUUCCCACCUCCACACACACAUACACACUCUUCCAUAUACAGCAAAAAAUAUCAAGGUUAUGUGUUUCCUGAAAUAAGGUUGACUGAAUAGAUACACUUACAGAGAAUUCUUUGUAAAGCUAUAGCAAAAUGAGUAAGAGUGCAUCGCUACCAUGGGAAAUAAAAAGAAAAGUAACCCAACUGCA